This 746-nucleotide ribosomal RNA is filed under the name Candidatus Regiella insecticola. RNAcentral describes it as "bacterial SSU rRNA". It matches the Rfam family "Bacterial small subunit ribosomal RNA", at positions 73 to 818 of the family's 1533-position model. The record is from RNAcentral. Lineage: Bacteria; Pseudomonadati; Pseudomonadota; Gammaproteobacteria; Enterobacterales; Enterobacteriaceae.
CUUGCUACUCUGCCGGCGAGCGGCGGACGGGUGAGUAAAGUCUGGGRAUCUGGCUUAUGGAGGGGGAUAACCAUUGGAAACGGUGGCUAAUACCGCAUGAUGUCGCAAGACCAAAGUGGGGGACCUUARGGCCUCACGCCAUGAGAUGAACCCAGAUGAGAUUAGCUAGUAGGUGCGGUAAUGGCGUACCUAGGCGACGAUCUCUAGCUGGUCUGAGAGGAUGACCAGCCACACUGGAACUGAGAGACGGUCCAGACUCCUACGGGAGGCAGCAGUGGGGAAUAUUGCACAAUGGGCGGAAGCCUGAUGCAGCCAUGCCGCGUGUGUGAAGAAGGCCUUAGGGUUGUAAAGCACUUUCAGCGGGGAGGAAGGCGGUAAGAGUAAUAUGCUUAUCRAUUGACGUUACCCGCAAAAGAAGCACCGGCUAACUCCGUGCCAGCAGCCGCGGUAAUACGGAGGGUGCGAGCGUUAAUCGGAAUAACUGGGCGUAAAGRGCAUGUAGGCGGUAAGUUAAGUCAGAUGUGAAAUCCCCGAGCUUAACUUGGGAACGGCAUUUGAGACUGGCUGGCUAGAGUUUUGUAGAGGGGGGUAGAAUUCCAGGUGUAGCGGUGAAAUGCGUAGAGAUCUGGAGGAAUACCGGUGGCGAAGGCGGCCCCCUGGACAAGGACUGACGCUGAGGUGCGAAAGCGUGGGUAGCAAACAGGAUUAGAUACCCUGGUAGUCCACGCUGUAAACGAUGUCGAUUU